Molecule: ribosomal RNA, 216 nt
Filed under: Triticum aestivum (bread wheat)
Lineage: Eukaryota; Viridiplantae; Streptophyta; Magnoliopsida; Poales; Poaceae
Description: partial small subunit ribosomal RNA
Source: RNAcentral
AUGACCAUUAACAAGGCACAGGGUCAAACCAUCCCAAAUGUCGGUAUUUACCUUCCAGAACCUGUUUUCUCACAUGGCCAACUAUAUGUUGCAUUCUCAAGGGGUGUCUCAAGAAAGACGACACAGAUUUUAGCCAAGCCUAACAAGGAGGUUGAUAAAUCUGAGAAAAGCACCAAAAACAUUGUCUAUAGAGAUGUUUUAGAGGGGUUUUCAUAA